GCAAGGUCUGGGUCUUACAGGUUGCGGGAGAAACCAUUUUGCGGGUGAGAAAUCAAAACAAGGUAUUAAUUUGAAACACUGUCACAGGAAGCCGGAGCGUACCCGUCAAGCAACGAGCACAAGACAGGGUACAACGUGGACACCGCUCCAGCGCAGAGCAAGUACAAGCCAAUCAUACUUGGGGACAAUUUGGAGGCCACGAGAGCUCGGUCUUUAUGAGCGUCUCUUGAGGCACAGAUGAGCCGAGACUAUGGAAGAUUGAGCUUGAACUCUGCUAAGAAGAUUGAAACGGUUGUCCACUGUGGGAUGCCACCCUACGAUAUUCCGGACAGAAGAGCUUUGGGAUGUACUGUAGCAAGAGAAGACCCUGUCAUCCAUGGAAUGUAAGUGAACUUGAGGGGCAUCUAGAAGACCAGAGUCAGACGAACGAAGGUUGUGAGACCGGGAGUAGACAUAAUAAGUCAGACAGGUAUUAGAUCAACCUUCCUAAAAUCAAAUUGGUAAGAUACAAAUGUAAGCAAAAAAACUGAAAAAAAUAUUUUUCCUGCAGUGUCACAGAUACAGUACAAAUAUAGAUCAGGAGUAUGUACAUUUACACAAAGAUAGACAUACAAAUGCCAGACAGAAAGAAGAAACAAACCAACUGUUGUUUAACUGUAGCACUUAGAGUCAUGACAUUUGGCUAAGUUUGAAGUCAUUGAGAUAUCCUGAAGUCCAGAAAUACCAUAGAGGUACAUUAACUUCAUGACUGGGAUUUAAAAGAGCAAAUGUCCCAAACACUUCUGUUAAUAGAAGUCUCCAUAUUUUUGUAGAUUUUUGUUUUGUAUUGUUACGG
Molecule: long non-coding RNA, 835 nt
Organism: Lepisosteus oculatus (spotted gar)
Lineage: Eukaryota; Metazoa; Chordata; Actinopteri; Semionotiformes; Lepisosteidae
Source: RefSeq, a predicted model, not a curated record